UAUCUCUCCGUACGGGGAAGGAUGAGAAGCUUCGACUAAGGUUCGAGUUCGAUUCGAGCGAAAGCGAGAAAGCGUUGCCAACGGCAACGACCCGAAGGGCGAAGCGCGCAGCGCUGAGUAAUCCUUCCCCCGUCAUCC
RNAcentral lists this small RNA (138 nucleotides) under Salmonella enterica subsp. enterica serovar Rubislaw. RNAcentral describes it as "RtT sRNA". It matches the Rfam family "RtT RNA". Rfam says of the family: This family represents a bacterial cis-regulatory element known as RtT RNA. The exact function of RtT is unknown although it is thought that it may be involved in changing the cellular response in relation to amino acid starvation. RNAcentral also lists the same sequence under 3 other names. Lineage: Bacteria; Pseudomonadati; Pseudomonadota; Gammaproteobacteria; Enterobacterales; Enterobacteriaceae. The record is from RNAcentral.